GAGCACCCACUGCAGAGUCCUUCCCAAGGGGAGGAGACCACCCCCUGGGACUUAACAACAGGUAAGCCUAAGCCCUUCCCUCUCUUACCAGGGCAGUGUUAAGACCUCGGGGUGAACAUAAGCCAUGCCUGUUGUCCAGCCUGAACUGAAUGCCUGGCCUUCAGCUGCUUCCAGGAGCACCAGGUCAUGGCAUGCUCCCUGCAGCAAGGAGGUGUCAGCACGGGAGCUGCUCAUGUCCCUGAGGGGAUAGGAGGGUAGACAGCCCCUGUGUCAUUCCAGCGGUACCCCUUGCCCCUCCUGUGCCCCCAGGGCCUGAGUGCUGCUCACAGGGGACAAAAAGGAGGAUAAUCCUAAAGCCCAAGGUUACAGAUACCCAUUUGAUGGACAGCAUUGGGACCAGCAGCCAAGUGAAUGUCAUAGAUGGUGUUGAGGCUGCUGCUUAAAUCCUAGUGGUCUUAUCAGCUGGGGACUGGUCCUCCCGCUACCUCUUCCUGUGCAGUUGGUAUUUGCCAAUAUUAUCAUCCCCCUUUUCCUGUCCUCACAGCAGCUCUCCAGCUCCCAGAGCUGGUCCCCAAAGCAGAAUUGCAAACUCCCCAAGCUGUGCUCAUCUCUGGCGUCCUGGCAGCCCCAGGAGCUGGGACAGGCAGGAGACCAGGUCUGUCCUCGCUGCUCACUGGCUCUCUGCCAAACCCCGGCUGUGCUCAUCCCCAUCCCUGCCCACCUCCCAUGACAGAAAGCUCAUCAACCGCUGCAUGCCUCCACACAAGGCUUCAGCCAGUUGGUACUGAAUAAUUUAUGCUAAGUGGAGCCUGGAGCAGAGAAACUGAGAGGGAGUGAGCAAGGCUUUAUGCUACUUUAGGCUCUGCUCCCAGGAUAUAGGGGGAGAGAGAUGGGUGUGCUGUGUCUGGCAGCUUUGUGCCCCAGCCAGUUUGGCUGGGCCUGGGAGUGUUCCUCUUGGGCUUGUUGUGCUGCUCACCUGCUGCUGUCAUGCUCCUUGUGUGCUACAGGGGGGCCAUGGCAGCAGUGGAUGGGACUUGGGGAGCAGAGCAAGGGCACUCUCAGUCCCAGCAGCUCUUGCUAGGGCUGGUACUAUGGCUCUCCUAGGCUACUGACCCUGUACUCAACCCACAGCAGGAGCAAAGUUGUUGAAUAUGGGGCCAAGCCUAUGCCUUUUCCCCUUCCCACCAGCUGCUGGUGGCCAGGAUCAUCGUGGCUGUCACACCAUCCUCUAAGCAAUGUCACCCCCUUCCUACAGCACAUCCCAUAAGUAUAAAGCAGUGUAUGGAGGAAAUAACAGCCUGGCAGUUUAAAGAGGCAGGUCUGACCACUUCCCAAACCAUCUCCCAAAUCCUACUGUCUAAGGAGCUGAGGAGGCCCACAGGGCGUACACCAGCAUCCUCUUCACCUAGAAGGAUGUGAACACCAGGAGACAACCAAACCACAGCUGAAACAUCUCACCAGGAGAUGGAGCAGGUGUACCCAUCCCACGAGCAUCCUUACUCACUGGCAGCAGUUACAAAAGAGCCCAAGAUGGGGAUGGAGAAGGCUUAGAAGGCACACAUGAAGAUGUGAGUCCAAGGGAUUGGAGUCACUAAAGCCUGGCUAUUCUUCCACACAGUAAAACAGGCUCCUCCUAAGACACAGAGAAAAGUAAACUAACUUCCAAUUUUAUCCAAAACUGGUAUGAGGUCCCUUAGAGGUACCUGUGGCUACACAGGAUGCAAUAUCACAAGCCCCUCUUCCAGCCAUUCCAUUGAGAGCCUGGACGAUUCUGGUGCCCUGCAGGCCACUCAGCUUGGCCUCACAUCAGAGCCCUGUUCCUGGAACAUCUAAGCCUACAGACUUAGAUAACCUCAGGCUUAGGGAAGCUGCUUCUUGAGUGGCUUUGCUUACCUUUAUGGUGAAGGCAAGAAGUGAUACAGAAGUACUGCUUAGGCUGGAAAGGUUUGCAGCACUGGCUGUAGUCCAGAAGGGAAACCUGGUCUGCUCCUCUACCCAGUCACACUGCAGGUGAGGAGGAUGAGGCCAGCAUUUAGGCAAAGCUGCUCUGCAAUACUUAACCUUUCAUUCAGCUGCCCCCACCACCACCCUCACAUCUCAGGUCUCACUGCAGCACCGAGUCAUUGCUGCCAGCUCCUGCACAACCCAGGUCUUUGCCAAAGCCCUCGGCAAGCACAAUGCACUCACCUACUUUGGAGGUACCCUCUCUGCUGGCUUAGGAGAAUGCUCCUGUGGAAGCCCUCACAGACCAAAAGGCAUGAGAUCUGUUCCAACACUUGAUCAGCAUCUUUAAGGACUUAUAAGUAAUUCUGGCAGUUGACUCAGCUGUAAUGUCUCUGGAGCCCUGACCCCUCUGUAACAGGUGUGGGGCACUUGAAUGAUGUGAGAGAAGAACAUGUAUUAUAUGUCUGUCCUGAGACACCUGGACCUGACCAGGCUAUAACAGACCUUGUCAGCUAUUCUGUAAUUUAAGUAUGGGUUCAAAGGUGACACUCCUCCAUCAUGGGCUAUGCAGUCUCAACAUAAUCAGUAGGAUGCUGACGGAAGCCUUCUCACAGCUGGUUUUUAUGCUGGCUGGAGAUCCACAGCACAAGUUUAGUUCAGUUUUGCCAUGGCCAGCUGAAGAGAUCACAACAGCCAGAGAUGAGCUUAUGUACUCAAAUAUAGCAAAAAGCUCACUUCUGUGGACUCUUUUCCAGCUUCAGCUGUGCAACAGGAAUAAUCCUGAGCUCGUGCCUCUGAAGCAGAACUGGGGUACGCAACAAGCUCCUUGUCAUAAGGGAAACAACUGCAGUGUCUGAAAACUUCAUCUUCCAGUCCAGGGUACUUCUAGAACAAAUGUGCCUUGAAUAACUAUGGGGAAGAUUAACUCCAAACCCCUCAAUUUCUUCUUCAAACCUACAUCAGUGAAACUGUGAUCCUGGCAUUACUUUCAGACUUGUGAAGUUCAGCUAGCACAUCAGAACACAUCGUGAGCUCAUGUACCGACCUCCUGCCUGUCAGGGGUCAGGAAGAUGAUGUCCUGUCCCCAAAUCAUCAGUGAAGAAGCCACGUCAAGAGUAACAACUCCACCCGAGAGAAGUGAUACAAUCUAAUUUUUGCCAACAGCAAAGAUCAGACCAGAUCAUGGCUGAUAUAUCUUGAUCUGUUGUGAUUUUCCUCCUCCAACAAAGAUGCAGUAUGACAAUACACAAUUAAUACGUGGUUUUUGGAGAAGAUGUAUGGUAUCAAGCUUUUAGCGCCUCCUUUUGCUUCUAACCUACCUCCAACUUUUAGCAUUGACUUCAACAAUGACCUGACUCUGGAUUUCUUGUGACCUAAUUACAGCAAAAAACGAACAAACUCCUGUGAUGGUCCUGUCACUGACUAGGACUGUCUGACAAGCUUGAAAAUCUUACCCUGAGUGCAGAAACCUCUCUGAAAGGGAGAUGCUCUUACUUCAGCUUCCUGCUCCUCACCAAACUCUUCUAAGUAGUUUGUAUUCUGGCCAGUGAUGUUGUAGCAUAUCCUCACCGAGAUGUGCCAGUUUCUUGGAACUGCAGCUAUUGCCUGCCCUGUGAAGACACCUUGGCCCUGGCACUCCCUGGAGCUCCUCAGCUUCCUUGACCGCAGCUCCCAGUACUUGACUCCCAUUGACAUCUGUCUCCCAGCCAGAAAUGAGAGGAGAGGACAUGAGGGAGGUGUUGUGCCAAAAAGAGCUGACAGGAAAGGAAUCAGGCAUUGCAUCUGAGGCCAUAAAUCCCACAAGGACUAGGCUGAAAGCAAAGCAUUCAAGGGGUGCCAAGGACAGGUUUGGACUGGUUGCACUCUUCCACCCUCCCAAAACUUUGGGCCAGCAGAGUUCCAGGUGGGUUGAAGAGGACAUGAUAAAGACUUGCUGGAGACAGAGACAAGAUGUCUUGCCAUGAGAGCUUGUGUCUCCCACCCCAAUCACCUCCAUGAUCUACAGCAUGACCUUGGUCUGUGGAGAGAAAAUUUCGGCACCCUUUCCUCCCCACCAUCCCACCUGUGAUCCUUCUGGAGCACCAGCAGCAGCAGCCUCUGGAAGGAGGACACACCCAUCAAGGUGAUUUGUUGAGACAAUCAAAUAAUAAUUUACUGUGAUUCAAUCUGUGGCUUUGUACAGUUGCCGGGUUGGGAGGAGGUCAAAGGAUAAGGGGACGGGGAUUAAAAAAAAAAAAAAAAAAAAGUUGCUUGCCGCAGACUUGGGUGAAGUGCGAGAUAGUCCUUGGAGGGCCUCAUGCUCCCCCUAUCCUCUUCGUCCGGCUUCUCUCCCCCCCCCCAAUACUUCUCCUCUGAAUCCGUUUGCUUGCUUCUUCCUUUGCUUCACCUCUUUCCUUGCACACUGCACAGUGGGAACCUCGCCAAGACACGGUCCAGACAGCUGAAACAGAAGAGGACACUCAUGAGCACCCAUUCCCCAUCAGAACAAGCAGGGCUGUUCCUAGUACUCACUCCUCACAUUUUGGGAUGACCCUGUUAGUGCCCACAGAGCAAACCAAAAGGUUACACAGGUCUUAGAGGCCUGGGCCUGUCUCAGCAAAGCAUCUGUACAUCAGCUGAAGGAACAAGUCUUGGAGUCAGUGGAGUGAUGGGUGAGCUUUGGGCACCUCACCAGACCUUCUGCCUCUUUCUAAACCUUGUGGGAGGGGGCACUGUUUGGGAAGAUCUUUCCACCUCCUCCAGGGAUGAUGGGAACUACAAAAUUAGUCCGGGGCAAAUAAAGCCAAAUUUUGUUGACCACAACACCACCCUUCUUCUCCCCAAAUCCCAGCAUAUCUUUGCCUCACUUCUCCUUUUGUGCCUUGAUGUUCCUCCCUCUCUGCUCUUGGGCACUGCAGCCAGAUUAAGCGGGAGGUCAGGUUUCCAGUUUCUGUCUGAGCAGAAAAAGACAAAGGCAACUUGCAAGGUAUGUUCUCUUAAUAGAGAGAAGUGUUUCCAAGUGACCCUUUUCCAGCCCUUCUUGCCCAAGCUGGUGCUGCCACUGGGCUGUGACAAGGAUUGGGCUCCUGGCAGUCAGUGUAAGGGAGCAGCACUGGCUGCCAAGCCCAUGCCGUCAGCUGUGAGCCAGAGCAGGAAACAAGCCUUGAGCUCACAUCCCCAUCCGGAGGAAAUGCUCCUGAACAUCUGGAGGACACAAACAUCUGGAAAAUCUCCCUUAGCAGUGAUAAGUGUGCUGGGCACAGCAUUCAGUUCAGCCCCCAGCCGACCUCACACGCCUCAGCUGCGAGUGGAGGGGUGGGGUUCUGGGGUGGGUGUUUGCUCAUAGGAAACAAAUGUUGCCAGCACUGUUUUGUUGGGGAUUUUUUUUUCUUGGGACUGGGGGACAGGAAGAGCUCUGCUGUGCUCAUGGCCUCUAGCUCAAAAAACAUAAGAGGAAACCUGCUGUUCAUCUCCACCUUUAUGAGACCCUCUUAACACCAUCUCUGGAUACAGUGCACUUCUCUUUACGACUCCAGCAGUUAUUUAAAGGGGUGAAGGGCCAGUCCAGGUGCUUGGGAGAAUCCCCAGAAGACAUUCAUGCACGCUUUUGUCCCAGUCAACCUUAGAGAUAGAUCUCCUUGGUGGACCUAGUUACUCCUCUCUAAACUUCUGCCAUGAAGGAGUUUGUUACACAGCCAGAUGUUCCCAGGCCUUAUACUUAAAGCCAGACAGCACAUGCAGGGACAAUAAUAUGAACUCACCCUGACUGCUAUCCAGCAGUGUUUUAAAUAAACUCAUAAUUAAAAAAAAAAAAAAAUGAGGAAAGAAAAACAGGCAAGAACAUAAACAAUCUGAAAAAUACUGUUUCUGGCUCCCAGCACACACAAUUUAUAAAAGCAAACAGCCCCCUUAUGGCUAAUUCUCAACAUUGCAUCAGUUCCAAAUAUCCCAGGGGAUUUAUCUAAUGGUGAAAACUCUUCUGAGGAACACAGGACUUUUCACAGCAAGACAGGUCUGCUCUAAAACUUUAAGAUGAGGCAAUUUAUGUGAGUGCAUGAGGAGGCAAUGCACCCAGCCAGCUCUUCAUCUGAACCCUUGUAGAUCCAGUCGGGUGAGCAUGCAGUGAUCUGUACACCUUCAACACCAGCUUAACUCCUCUUUUAGAGCAGCAGCAUGAGAAGAAGCUUUCCUGGGGAAAGCACAACAAAAUAUUAUUUUUUUCAAAUAUUCUGUUGUAUAGAAUUCUGUUGCACAAAAUGAGGGGGAGAAAUAAACAACCCUUUCCUGCCACACACUUCCUCAGGGAAGUGGGAAUUUUGACUUACCUAUGUUUUCACAGAAAAACACUAUAUCGAUCAGAAAGGUGUUUCAUUAAACAAUACCUGCUGCUGAAAUUGA
Molecule: non-coding RNA, 6321 nt
Organism: Lonchura striata (white-rumped munia)
Lineage: Eukaryota; Metazoa; Chordata; Aves; Passeriformes; Estrildidae
Source: RefSeq, a predicted model, not a curated record